Molecule: ribosomal RNA, 496 nt
Filed under: uncultured bacterium
Lineage: Bacteria
Description: partial 16S ribosomal RNA
Rfam family: Bacterial small subunit ribosomal RNA
Source: RNAcentral
GAUGAACGCUGGCGGCGUGCCUAAUACAUGCAAGUCGAGCGAACAGACGAGGAGCUUGCUCCUCCGACGUUAGCGGCGGACGGGUGAGUAACACGUGGAUACCUACCUAUAAGACUGGGAUAACUUCGGGAAACCGGAGCUAAUACCGGAUAAUAUAUUGAACCGCAUGGUUCAAUAGUGAAAGACGGUUUUGCUGUCACUUAUAGAUGGAUCCGCGCCGCAUUAGCUAGUUGGUAAGGUAACGGCUUACCAAGGCAACGAUGCGUAGCCGACCUGAGAGGGUGAUCGGCCACACUGGAACUGAGACACGGUCCAGACUCCUACGGGAGGCAGCAGUAGGGAAUCUUCCGCAAUGGGCGAAAGCCUGACGGAGCAACGCCGCGUGAGUGAUGAAGGUCUUCGGAUCGUAAAACUCUGUUAUUAGGGAAGAACAAAUGUGUAAGUAACUAUGCACGUCUUGACGGUACCUAAUCAGAAAGCCACGGCUAACUACGUG